CAGAUUGCACUGCUGUCUGUGCGGCACUUGGGAUCCGAGACCGCGGCCGCCCCCCUGGCGGCUUUCCCACGGGGACUUGCUCCUCUCACCGCAGGAAGGACUGCAUUCCACCUGCUACCUGCUUGCGGCCAGCACAGCAGUGCAUGUCUGUACUGGCUGAAGUGAUUAUUAACUCGUUUAAUGUUAGGUAAUACUGGGGUGUAAGUUUGGUCUUGGCUACUAAUUUAUAAAACCUUAUUUU
This 241-nucleotide long non-coding RNA is filed under the name Canis lupus familiaris (dog). Its description in RNAcentral is "lncRNA (ENSCAFG00000050963.1, ENSCAFG00845009917.1)". Lineage: Eukaryota; Metazoa; Chordata; Mammalia; Carnivora; Canidae. The record is from RNAcentral.